UUGAAAGGGAAACGAUUGAAGUCAGUCAUACCAACGGGAAAUCAACCUUUUGAGCUUGGUCUCGUGGGUUUUGAAGAGUUUCAAUGCCUUCGGACUCGCGGGAUUGGGAUCUCUUGGUGUACUUUUUCGUACGGUUAGUCAACAUCGAUUUUGAAUGUCAUAAAAUGACUGGAGGAAUGUAGCUUCGAUCUCGUAUUGAAGUGUUAUAGCCUUUGGUAGAUGUGAUGUUUGAGACCGAGGAUUGCAACGGAUACCCUUCAGGGCUAUUCGUCUGAUCUCUGAUACGUUGCCCUGAUGUUGAAAGCUUGCUUAUGAUGUUAGGGUAUUACGGUCAAAAGGUUAGAACGAAUUACAUUCGUUAAGGAUGUUGACGUA
Molecule: ribosomal RNA, 375 nt
Filed under: uncultured Funneliformis
Lineage: Eukaryota; Fungi; Glomeromycota; Glomeromycetes; Glomerales; Glomeraceae
Description: LSU rRNA
Source: RNAcentral